Molecule: long non-coding RNA, 840 nt
Organism: Benincasa hispida (wax gourd)
Lineage: Eukaryota; Viridiplantae; Streptophyta; Magnoliopsida; Cucurbitales; Cucurbitaceae
Source: RefSeq, a predicted model, not a curated record
GGNACUUAGCUGCCUCCCGCGCAUGUUAGCGCCGCUUGCCGCUCGACUUCCGCCUUCAGCCAGCCGAAUCGUGUGCCGACGUCUCCGCUAGCCGAGCCCUUUUUUCGUUCCCAUUCGCCAGCCGUUGGCCUAAACCCAAGCACCCUCUGACAGUUCUGGCGCAGACAGUUCCGGUUGUCGCCGGAUCGUGGUUGGUUCCGCUCGAACUUCUUGUUUGGAGGUAAGUUUCGGGUUCUUUUGGUAACUCAUCGUCAUUGGUUAUUCUUGGGCCAAAGCUAAUUUACCCAUGGAAUUUUGUGGUUGGAUUCUGGAACUUGUGGUGGUGAAGAAAGUUUCCAAGCGAAGGUCUAUUUUGGGGCAGUUCGGUACCCUUAGGUUGGACUGAUCAUUUGAAGUGUUGGGAGUUCGUUCGAAUGUGUGGGUUUCGUUGCUUUCGUGCUUGCAUUGAAUUUUCUCGUUGUGUCAAACUUAAGUAAGCGAUUUACUAUGAAUUGUGAACGAUUACGUAGUCUUAGCAUGAGUUAUGAUGUUGGAUGAAUGCUUAUAUUGUAUGAGAUUGCAGUUUCCAUUGGGCUAUGCACAUCACAUGUUGUGAGCCUUCGGGUGGUGUCCCGGGAAGACUAACAGAGUAUAUUUAUAUAUUCACCCUUUUUUUCCUCUCAUGUCCAUUUGAAUGAGUCCUUACUUCAACGCCUAGUUUCAUUUUGAUAGUGUCUGGUCUAAGAGUUAGCAUUUUAAAAACCUAUGAUUUCUCCUUAAUUUCAUUUAUUGAUUUAUUUAAUUACUAUUUAUUUUAAAAUUAGGUUAGGGGUACCCAAACAAUGAAUCGUUUGUUGUAAA